AGUUAAUUUAACCUCACGGUAUUUAAAAGCGUUUUUGUCAAGUGAGCGGGAAAGGUGAGUCAUCCGAUACUAUCUUUCGAAGGCAACAAAGGGAUUCGCCGCAGAUCCCCUCGUACUUAAAAGAGGGUUCACGGGCACCAUCUUUUGGUGUCUCAGACAUAUGACGCGUCAAUUAUCGUGACUCGUUGAACGAGGACAAGGGGCUACAAGAUGGAGGUUUCUCAGGAUUCGAGGCAGGAGGAUUUAUGAAAAAUGUUCCGAGAGGGCCAAAACGAUAAUCGACAGAACUCGCAGGAUGGACUCACAUGGUGUAUAGUGCCGUCGGCGGUUCUGGCAUCUCACUUCGUCAACCCUAAGUCGUCUCGUACAGAGGGAGAUGCGCGUCCCGACGCAAGGGGGGACGCCUUUCGCCACCUCUCGACGUCUCACCUCGCCAUGGGUACCCACAAGCAAAUCGUUGAUAAUGGCCACGCUCUCUUGCCUUCCGCCAUCAAAAUAUACUCGAAGGAAAGUUUGGCAAAUUCAUAAAACGGAAUUGCCAAUUUUUAUCUAAAUAAAUACCAAGUUGUACAAGAAUUUCACAGAAA
Molecule: long non-coding RNA, 587 nt
Organism: Osmia bicornis bicornis
Lineage: Eukaryota; Metazoa; Arthropoda; Insecta; Hymenoptera; Megachilidae
Exons: 2
Source: RefSeq, a predicted model, not a curated record